AUUGAACGCUGGCGGCAGGCCUAACACAUGCAAGUCGAACGAGUGGUGGACGGGUGAGUAAUGUCUGGGAAACUGCCUGAUGGAGGGGGAUAACUACUGGAAACGGUAGCUAAUACCGCAUACCAUCAGAUGUGCCCAGAUGGGAUUAGCUUGUUGGUGGGGUAACGGCUAACCAGGGCGACGAUCCCUCGCUGGGCUGAGAGGAUGACCAGCCACACUGGAACUGAGAAACGGUCCAGACUCCUACGGGAGGCAGCGGUGGGGAAUAGGGCAAAAUGGGCGCAAGCGUGAUGCAGCCAUGCCGCGUGUAUGAAGAAGGCCUUCGGGUUGUAAAGUACUUUCAGCGGGGAGGCGUUACCCGCAGAAGAAGCACCGGCUAACUCCGUGCCAGCCGCCGCGGUAAUAC
Molecule: ribosomal RNA, 406 nt
Filed under: uncultured bacterium
Lineage: Bacteria
Description: partial 16S ribosomal RNA
Rfam family: Bacterial small subunit ribosomal RNA
Source: RNAcentral